This is a long non-coding RNA of Gopherus flavomarginatus (Mexican gopher tortoise), 721 nucleotides long. RefSeq lists it as uncharacterized. The transcript is spliced from 2 exons. The record is from RefSeq and is a predicted model, not a curated record. NCBI's taxonomy places the organism in Eukaryota, Metazoa, Chordata, Testudines, Testudinidae.
GAGGAGAGUCCCGCACGCGCAGAGGCCGCGUCACCCGCUGCUGGUGCCUGGGGCCGGGACCGGGCGGAGCAGGAGAGUUUGUGCCAGGACCGGUGACCUUCGAGGAGGUGUCUGUGUAUUUCACCAGGGAAGAGUGGGCUCUGCUGUACCCCACUCAGAGAGCCCUCUACAGGGAUGUCAUGCAGGAGAACUAUGAGAAUGUGACCUCAUUGGGUAAGGAUUCCCGUCCCCUUGGUUCUUGGAAUAGGAAAUGAAGAGAGAAGGUUCAUGCCAACCCCACAAUGCCACCUCUACUCUGCCCUGUUUCAGCAUGUCAUAAACAAAUAGCUAAGGGUUAAUGUCUCUUUCACCUGGAAAGAAGUAAUCUGAACCACCUGACCAGAGGACCAAUCAGAAAACCGGAUUUUUUCAACUCUGGGUGGAGGGAAGUUUGUGUCUGAGUUCUUUGUUUUUUGUCUGCCUGUAUGCUCUCUCGGAGGAGGAGUGAUUUCUAUUUUCUGCUUUCUAAUCUUCCGUUUCCAAGUUGUGAGUGCAAAAAGGGUUUGUUGUUUUUGUAUUUACAUGUCUAUAGUGGCUGGAGUGCUUUGAUUUGUAUUCUUUUUGAAUAAGGCUGUUUAUUCAAUAUUCUUUUAAGCAAUUGACCCUGUAUUUGUCACCUUAAUACAGAGAGACCAUUUGUAUGUAUUUUUCUUUCUUUUUUAUAUAAAGCUUUCUUUUAAGA